CCCUUCCCUUCAGCAGUUCCCAGCUCCUCACUUGCCCAGUAACACCAUAAAGCUUCAGAUGAGUUUGGGCUGUGUGUGAGGGCUAGAGUUGCCUGCAGCUCCCCUGCCCUUUAGCCCAGCCAUGUGUGUAACCUGCACACCCCUCACUGCUCACACUCCUGGGGAUUUGGCACUGAGGUGAUGCAGGAUACAUCCCUGAGUCUGGUUUGCAUGGGCGCCCCGGCCAUCUUCCCACACUGGGUAACUACCUUCUGUCUCCCCAAAUUCCCCCUGCAGUUUCAAGUGGAUGUGGGAUUCUCCUUCUCUUCCAGUCUUAGUCUGCUGUGUAGCGUUGCUGCGUGCUGCUCUGCCGCUGCUGCCUUCCAGCCCAGAGCAUUGCAGUGGUGGGUGAGUGAGUCCUGCUUUUGUACCUAGCUCUGAAGUGCUUUGGGGCCCUGCAGGGCGCUCUGGAGCUGUGGCUAGGGCAUGUCAGGCUGAGGGGCUGGCUGGGGUAAGCUGGGCAGACCCCAGGCUGGUGGUGAUUCACCAGCAGGUCCCUUCAGAAGGCAUAUCUCUCCUCUCUGCUUUCUCCCAGCAGCUGGUGAGGAACACAUUGCUGGAGUGCCACUUACACCCACUGCCAUGCCACAUGCUGGUUGCUGCUUCUCUCCCCGCUCCCUUGUGGGUUUUCCUGGUGAGACGUCCCUGGGGAUGGGAAGAAGAAACCAAGUGCUGCCAUUGGCUGCUGCAGCCACAGGCUCCCACGAGACAUCAGCCAUGAGUGGACUGCCAGCAGCAGGUGAAGAUGCAUCAGACACAAGCCUGCAUGGGUCAGGCAUGGCAGGCUUGCUCCAGAAUGUGCAGCAACUGCUGGUGCAGAUCCUGCAGACAUCACGGCAGCAGCAGGCACUACUGGAGAGUCUGGCCAGUGACACAGUCUCCCACCUCCACCAUAUCUCCCACAGCCUUGUGCAGGUGGGCGAGACCCUGCACCAACUCCUGCUCCGACCACAUCCUGGCCCCAUUGGCCACUAUGUCCCCCACAUGCCCCUUUUUGAGGGUGGCUCUUGCUCCUGUGGUGCUCCUCACACUUUCCUGGACCACAAAGAGGAGCCUCAGCUGUCCUGUGAUGCCAGGUGCAUCCCACCCUGAGUGCCACCAUCACUGGCCCCAGGAUUUGGUACAGAGCUUAGCACAAAUCUUUAUGUCAGAGGUUCCAGAUAUUUUGAAAGUUUAUACUAGAGAGACAUUUUGAUGAAAUUAAAAAUAGCUUUUCUACCAGUGAUGGCAACUGACCAAUUCUUUCCCCCUCUCUGGGGAAUGUUCCCCUUCUCACUUUCGAGAUGAGCAUGAGGGGAACUCAGCUGUUUACAGACUUAGAGAAAGUCCCAACCCACACAGCAAGGGACAGAUGUACUUUUCCUACCCUGUGGUGGUCAUCACACCUUCCUGGGAGAUGCUGGGCUGUGGAGCAGAGCAGGGCCACUGCCAGGAGUGGAGGCCAGGAAGCCCAGGCUGCAUCUUUCUCCAAAGGAAGAGGCUGAGGUGGAUGAUGCUGCAGUGUGUGCAGCAGCCACAGUCCCUCGGUGUCCAGGUCCUUGGCAGGGAUCUUCCAGGGAACAAUCUGGGACUUUCACACCCAGUACUGUGAGCUUGCCACACUUCUGGUGAGGCCCUUGUGCUCCAUGAGAGAUCCUCCUGCUUCAGUACAUGGAUCAUCAUCAGGUAACAGUAGCUGCAGAAAUACCAUGGCAUGUGCCUAAAGAAGAGACCUCUGACUUGCCUGGACCCCACCACAUCCUCCGUGGGGAUGGGGCAAUGUGCUGUCUGCCUCCAGAAUCUCUGCCACAUCCAAGGAGUGGAAAUGUACAUCGUGUAGACAUCAUGAAAGUGGUCCUGCCAUGCCAGAUGCUGUGUGCUGGAAGUGUGG
Molecule: long non-coding RNA, 1909 nt
Organism: Lonchura striata (white-rumped munia)
Lineage: Eukaryota; Metazoa; Chordata; Aves; Passeriformes; Estrildidae
Source: Ensembl